AUUACAUCCGUGAGGAAACACCACCAACCUUUUAAACCUCAUGCCCUCCUGUGCCUGGAGGUCUCUGGAAUGGUGAAGCUGUGAAAGUCCAGAUCCUAGCUUUGAAGUCUGCAGUGAAGCCGUGCAAACCCAGGGGUGGAGGAGCUGGCUAGUCAGUUUCAGUUACCUGCGCCAAAUGCUCUUCAGGUGUGGAUGAGCCUCCCUUUGAGGAAUCAUCAGAAGGACAAUUAGUAGCCUAUCGCCAAGUCUCAGUGCUUACAUCAUUCACCUACGUCAUCUUAUCACGUAGCCGUUUAUCUUCUCCCUUCGUCCGAAGGUGGUGAGUAUAGU
RNAcentral lists this long non-coding RNA (330 nucleotides) under Felis catus (domestic cat). RNAcentral describes it as "lncRNA (ENSFCAG00000051316.1)". Lineage: Eukaryota; Metazoa; Chordata; Mammalia; Carnivora; Felidae. The record is from RNAcentral.